AGUGAACGCUGGCGGUAGGCCUAACACAUGCAAGUCGAACGGCAGCACAGGAGAGCUUGCUCUCUGAGUGGCGAGUGGCGGACGGGUGAGGAAUACAUCGGAAUCUACUCUGUCGUGGGGGAUAACGUAGGGAAACUUACGUUAAUACCGCAUACGACCCACGGGUGAAAGCAGGGGAUGUUCGGGCCGUGCUCGAUUGAAUGAGCCGAUGUCGGAUUAGCUAGUUGGCGGGGUAAAGGCCCACCAAGGCGACGAUCCGUAGAUGGUCUGAGAGGAUGAUCAGCCACACUGGAACUGAGACACGGUCCAGACUCCUACGGGAGGCAGCAGUGGGGAAUAUUGGACAAUGGGCGCAAGCCUGAUCCAGCCAUACCGCGUGGGUGAAGAAGGCCUUCGGGUUGUAAAGCCCUUUUGUUGGGAAAGAAAUCCAGCUGGCUAAUACCCGGUUGGGAUGACGGUACCCAAAGAAUAAGCACCGGCUAACUUCGUGCCAGCCGCCGCAGUAA
This 506-nucleotide ribosomal RNA is filed under the name uncultured bacterium. RNAcentral describes it as "partial 16S ribosomal RNA". It matches the Rfam family "Bacterial small subunit ribosomal RNA", at positions 29 to 523 of the family's 1533-position model. The record is from RNAcentral.